This 809-nucleotide ribosomal RNA is filed under the name uncultured bacterium. Its description in RNAcentral is "bacterial SSU rRNA". It matches the Rfam family "Bacterial small subunit ribosomal RNA", at positions 8 to 796 of the family's 1533-position model. The record is from RNAcentral.
AGAGUUUGAUCAUGGCUCAGAACGAACGCUGGCGGCGUGGAUAAGACAUGCAAGUCGAACGGGACAACUUUGGUAGCAAUAUUAGAGUUUGUUCAGUGGCGCAAGGGUGCGUAACACGUGGGCAAUCUGCCGGGAAGUGGGGGAUAGCUCGCCGAAAGGCGAAUUAAUACCGCAUGUGGAUAGUGAAGGAUUCUUCGCGACUCCAAAGUCGGGGCAACCUGACGCUUCCUGAUGAGCCCGCGGCCUAUCAGCUAGUUGGUGAGGUAACGGCCCACCAAGGCUAUGACGGGUAGCUGGUCUGAGAGGACGACCAGCCACACUGGAACUGAGACACGGUCCAGACACCUACGGGUGGCAGCAGUCGAGAAUUUUUCUCAAUGGGGGAAACCCUGAAGGAGCGACGCCGCGUGAAGGAUGAAGGUCUUCGGAUUGUAAACUUCUGUCAUUAGAGAACAAGUGCCAUCGAGUAACUACCGGUGGCUUGAUAGUAUCUGAAGAGGAAGAGACGGCUAACUCUGUGCCAGCAGCCGCGGUAAUACAGAGGUCUCAAGCGUUGUUCGGAUUCAUUGGGCGUAAAGGGCGCGUAGGUGGCGAGGUAAGUUGGAUGUGAAAUCCCGGGGCUUAACCCCGGAACUGCAUUCAAUACUGCCUUGCUAGAGUACUGGAGAGGAGAUUGGAAUUUACGGUGUAGCAGUGAAAUGCGUAGAUAUCGUAAGGAAGACCAGUGGCGAAGGCGGAUCUCUGGACAGUUACUGACACUGAGGCACGAAGGCCAGGGGAGCAAACGGGAUUAGAUACCCCGGUAGUCC